This 1164-nucleotide small RNA is filed under the name Pleosporales sp. 13 MU-2012. RNAcentral's name for it is "eukaryotic LSU rRNA". The stretch from base 399 to 1164 matches the Rfam family "Eukaryotic large subunit ribosomal RNA", at positions 1 to 804 of the family's 3401-position model. Lineage: Eukaryota; Fungi; Ascomycota; Dothideomycetes; Pleosporales. The record is from RNAcentral.
CUGGCUUCGCGGCCGGCUGAAUAUUUUUUUCACCCAUGUCUUUUGCGCACUUGUUGUUUCCUGGGCGGGUUCGCCCGCCACCAGGACCAAACCAUAAACCUUUUUUUUUAUGCAGUUGCUAUCAGCGUCAGUAAAAACAAUGUAAUUAUUACAACUUUCAACAACGGAUCUCUUGGUUCUGGCAUCGAUGAAGAACGCAGCGAAAUGCGAUACGUAGUGUGAAUUGCAGAAUUCAGUGAAUCAUCGAAUCUUUGAACGCACAUUGCGCCCUUUGGUAUUCCAAAGGGCAUGCCUGUUCGAGCGUCAUUUGUACCUUCAAGCUUUGCUUGGUGUUGGGCGUUUUUGUCUCUUUCUGGGAGACUCGCCUUAAAACGAUUGGCAGCCGGCCUACUGGUUUCGGAGCGCAGCACAUAUUUUGCGCUUUGUAUCAGGAGAAAAGGACGGUAAUCCAUCAAGACUCUACAACGGCGAGUGAAGCGGCAACAGCUCAAAUUUGAAAUCUGGCUCUUUCAGAGUCCGAGUUGUAAUUUGCAGAGGGCGCUUUGGCUUUGGCAGCGGUCCAAGUUCCUUGGAACAGGACGUCACAGAGGGUGAGAAUCCCGUACGUGGUCGCUAGCUAUUGCCGUGUAAAGCCCCUUCGACGAGUCGAGUUGUUUGGGAAUGCAGCUCUAAAUGGGAGGUAAAUUUCUUCUAAAGCUAAAUAUUGGCCAGAGACCGAUAGCGCACAAGUAGAGUGAUCGAAAGAUGAAAAGCACUUUGGAAAGAGAGUCAAACAGCACGUGAAAUUGUUGAAAGGGAAGCGCUUGCAGCCAGACUUGCUUGCAGUUGCUCAUCCGGGCUUUUGCCCGGUGCACUCUUCUGUAGGCAGGCCAGCAUCAGUUUGGGCGGUGGGAUAAAGGUCUCUGUCACGUACCUCUCUUCGGGGAGGCCUUAUAGGGGAGACGACAUACCACCAGCCUAGACUGAGGUCCGCGCAUCUGCUAGGAUGCUGGCGUAAUGGCUGUAAGCGGCCCGUCUUGAAACACGGACCAAGGAGUCUAACAUCUAUGCGAGUGUUUGGGUGUCAAGCCCGAGCGCGUAAUGAAAGUGAACGGAGGUGGGAACCCGCAAGGGUGCACCAUCGACCGAUCCUGAAGUUUACGGAAGGAUUUGAGUAAGAGCAUG